GAAAAAUGGUAACACUGCCAUAGAAGAAGGUAUUGCGCCGCCUGGUGGUGUCCCACCACUUCCCACUAUCGCCACCACUUUGGCGUUUCAUUGGCAACAUAUCUAUGCUGUCCACAUAGCCGAUGCCUACUUUGCUAGGCGGCGGCGACUCAAUUCUGGUUUUGAUGUGAUUUAAAGAUGAAAAAGUGCAAAUGGAAAUGAUUUGAUAUUAUUUAAAGGCUUAGAGUGGUGAAGAAGUUAAGGA
RNAcentral lists this unclassified non-coding RNA (244 nucleotides) under Hevea brasiliensis (rubber tree). Lineage: Eukaryota; Viridiplantae; Streptophyta; Magnoliopsida; Malpighiales; Euphorbiaceae. The record is from RNAcentral.